UGCUACAAAUACGUCCACGCAACCCCUCUCCUAGCCUUGACACCCCCGCAGUGCAGUGCCGCCGCAGCAGAGCAGCAAGCUACGAGGGAUGGCAUCGAUCAUGGCCGCCGCCACCUCCCGCGUCCUCGCCGCCAAGACGCUGUUCCUCGGCCAGGGCCGCGCCGCCGCCAAUGCCAGCCCCCUCCGCGACGUCGCCGCAGCCGCCAGCGGCCGGAUCACCAUGGUACGUACCCCUUUGGUGCCAAAACCACCCGCCUACAGCAUCAGUCCAGCUUGCUUAGGUGCUGACGAACAAGUCCUUGUUGUUUGCAGAGCAACGACCUGUGGUACGGCCCGGACCGCGUCAAGUACCUGGGCCCCUUCUCCGCGCAGACUCCCUCCUACCUCACCGGCGAGUUCCCCGGCGACUACGGCUGGGACACGGCGGGGCUCUCCGCCGACCCGGAGGCGUUCGCCCGCAACAGGGCGCUGGAGGUGAUCCACGGGCGGUGGGCGAUGCUGGGCGCGCUGGGCUGCAUCACGCCCGAGGUGCUCGAGAAGUGGGUGCGCGUGGACUUCAAGGAGCCCGUGUGGUUCAAGGCCGGCGCGCAGAUCUUCUCCGAGGGCGGGCUGGACUACCUGGGCAACCCCAACCUGGUGCACGCGCAGAGCAUCCUCGCCGUGCUGGGCUUCCAGGUCAUCCUCAUGGGCCUCGUCGAGGGCUUCCGCAUCAACGGCCUCGACGGCGUCGGCGAGGGCAACAACCUCUACCCGGGCGGCCAGUACUUCGACCCGCUCGGCCUCGCCGACGACCCCGUCACCUUCGCCGAGCUCAAGGUCAAGGAGAUCAAGAACGGACGCCUCGCCAUGUUCUCCAUGUUCGGAUUCUUCGUGCAGGCCAUCGUCACCGGCAAGGGGCCCCUCGAGAACCUGCUCGACCACCUCGACGACCCCGUCGCAAACAACGCCUGGGUCUACGCCACCAAGUUCGCGCCCGGGUCUUAAGAAGCUAGACGGCUGCUUCGUGCCUGCCACCAUUGUAGACUACUCGUUACUUUUGUACCACCAAUUAAUGCAAAUACCUUGUUCUCAGGAUUCAGGAAUGUGCAUUAUGCUCUCUGUCAGUUGUGGCUUGUGUGCUCCUGAAACAGAUGAUGUGCUGAACUGCUGAUUUACGAUCUAUACAUGUAGCUGCCUCUUUGCAUUUCAGUUCAUGUUUUGAGGUUUUGAC
This 1210-nucleotide long non-coding RNA is filed under the name Setaria viridis. RNAcentral describes it as "long non-coding RNA (SVIR_LNC002427)". Lineage: Eukaryota; Viridiplantae; Streptophyta; Magnoliopsida; Poales; Poaceae. The record is from RNAcentral.